This is a long non-coding RNA of Neofelis nebulosa (Clouded leopard), 1476 nucleotides long. RefSeq lists it as uncharacterized. NCBI's taxonomy places the organism in Eukaryota, Metazoa, Chordata, Mammalia, Carnivora, Felidae. The record is from RefSeq and is a predicted model, not a curated record. The transcript has 7 exons.
GUUUCUAGGAAGAUAGGAAGGGUUUGAGAUCCUCUGUGGUCGAAUGGGAGCGUUGGCUGUCACUCACGGUGUUUACACGCUGGUAACACAAUCCCCUGAAACCUCAAGCUUGCGCCAGUCCGGGGAGGGCCUUAGCCACAGGUGAAAUUCUCUGAACUCCGCCGCUUCUGCCCCCACCCCACCGCCCCAGGCUGGACCAAGUGAAUUGGACUCGGUCUGCUUUAUUAAUGGCAUGGGCCCUAAAGGAAUGAGCUGGGUUUGAUUUCUCUUCCCAAGUACAAGAAUGCCCCUGAGGAAUUUCUCACUCUGUGAAAGCGCAAAACUAAUUUCCCCAGACAGGCGCUGUUGCCGGUUCCCAAAAGGGCUUGGAAAGAUCCCAGCAGGAAUGCUCAGUGGUUCCAAAUCUCUUCACCCGAGCCGCUGGAUAUGCAGACACUGACCACCAAGAACUUCUUGGUAGGUGGACACACGUCCUUCCCAGACAGGCCUUCUUUUUAGAGUAUCUCAGGCCCCCAUGUUAUGGAGAUUUUGGAAUCAGCCAGAGAAUGCACAACCACGAACUCAUACAGACACAGCACAAAUGUAACAGUUCUCUAGAUUCAAGUGGCUCUGCAACUCAGGUGAGAAAAUUGAAGCACAGAGAAGUUAAGGAACUUGUCCAAAGGCACUGAGCAGGAGACUGGAAGAUUCUUCUCUGGAAAAACUAAGCAAUCCCAGAGGAAGGAGCUGCCCCGUGAAAAAGCUAGUGUGCCACCAGAGCACUUAACAGUGAACUCCACCAGUUGACAAGCUCCAAGUCACACACAGAGCCCUCCAUCAGCCUGUAGUGCCUCCCUCUCAGUGUAGAUCCUCAGCCGAAGAUCACCAGGCAUGUGAACAAAGCUUCCUGACAAGGAAGAUGUCAGGACUUUUCUUCAGUUUGACAGGGUCCACUGGGUGCCAAGCACGAUGACAGAAAAAGACCCCACUGAGGCAUAUCGCUGUGAAAUUUUAGAACCCUAGAGAUGAAGAAAAAAAAAUCCUAAAAACUUCCCAAGACACAAGGGCCUCAAGUACAAUGCUGGAAAGAAGAAUUGAUGCAGACAUUUUUGUCUUGUUCCUGAUUUUUAAAGGCCUUCUAACAUUUCACCUUGAAGAAUGAUGUUUGAAGAAUGACGUUUGCUGUAAUUAUUUGGUUAAAAAAAACUCUAUCAGAGCCUGCCCUACCCAGAGCCCCGAGUCCCCUGAGUCUUGUCCCAUCUGAGUGUUCAUCCACAUUCUUCCUCACACGUUGGAAACUCUAAGUAGGCCUCAUUCUUUAAAGUUUCCAGAGGCCAGUUUGGUCAGUCUGUGCUUGGUGACUGCUGGUUUGAUGAAUGAAUGCAAGCAUGCAGAGAUGGCCCCUGAGAGCCCAGGUGCAACCACUCUCCAGUCGGGCCACUGGGUCACAUAAUCAAUGGCUGGACACAAUGUUUCAAACCAGGGUAUUCUAUUACU